This 658-nucleotide ribosomal RNA is filed under the name uncultured fungus. RNAcentral's name for it is "partial 26S ribosomal RNA". It matches the Rfam family "Eukaryotic large subunit ribosomal RNA", at positions 1 to 667 of the family's 3401-position model. Lineage: Eukaryota; Fungi. The record is from RNAcentral.
UGUAUAAAACGGCGCACAGUCCCAAGUUACACGCGUACAUCUCGACUAGCGCAUCUCAAUGAGGAGGAAGAAGAAGAAAAACAAGAGGUAGUGCCAGAGUAGCCGAGAGAAGAGCCACAAAAAUCUCAUAUUAGAAAUGGCUCUCUCUCAGUGUCCGUGGUGUUUUUUGAAGAAGGUAUCGUUAGCUGUCCCUAUCGUCUAUGUUUCUUGCAACAGAUCGUCGCAGAGGAUGAUACUCCCUUGCGAUGAGAUUAUGCAGCCGUAUGUAAAUCUCUUUAGGAGAGUAGAGGUGUUUGAAAACACAUCUAAAAGGGGGUGAAAAAUUCCAUAAAAAUAAAAAUAUCCGGAGAGCCCUAUAGCGCACAAGUACAAUCGAAAAAGAAAAACGAACUAAAAAAGAGUUAAAAAACACACAAAAAUUGAAAAAGGGAAGCUUGCGAGAUCACUCGCUGGCGGGGUUCAGCUGGCUUUUGGGGCGUGGCCUUUCCACGCGGUCGGGCCAGCGUCGGUUUGGGCGGUCGGUCAAAGGCCCUCGGAAGGGCCGCCCCUAGGGGCGUCUUAUAGCCGUGGGUGCAAUGCCCAGCCCUAGACCGAGGAACGCGUUUCGCCUCGGACGUUGGCAUAAUGAUCGUAAAUGACCCGUCUUGAAACACGGACC